RNAcentral lists this non-coding RNA (31 nucleotides) under Mus musculus (house mouse). The record is from RNAcentral. Lineage: Eukaryota; Metazoa; Chordata; Mammalia; Rodentia; Muridae.
UACAAAUUUAAACUUGCCAUACCCUUCCACA